RNAcentral lists this ribosomal RNA (468 nucleotides) under uncultured bacterium. RNAcentral's name for it is "partial 16S ribosomal RNA". It matches the Rfam family "Bacterial small subunit ribosomal RNA", at positions 28 to 507 of the family's 1533-position model. The record is from RNAcentral.
GACGAACGCUGGCGGCGUGCUUAACACAUGCAAGUCGAACGGAAAGGCCCUGCUUUUGUGGGGUGCUCGAGUGGCGAACGGGUGAGUAACACGUGAGUAACCUGCCCUUGACUUUGGGAUAACUUCAGGAAACUGGGGCUAAUACCGGAUAGGAGCUCCUGCUGCAUGGUGGGGGUUGGAAAGUUUCGGCGGUUGGGGAUGGACUCGCGGCUUAUCAGCUUGUUGGUGGGGUAGUGGCUUACCAAGGCUUUGACGGGUAGCCGGCCUGAGAGGGUGACCGGACACAUUGGGACUGAGAUACGGCCCAGACUCCUCCGGGAGGCAGCAGUGGGGAAUAGUGCACAAUGGGAGGAAGCAUGAUGCAGCAACGCCGCGUGCGGGAUGACGGCAUGCGGGUUGUAAACCGAUUUCGCCUGUGACGAAGCGUGAGUGACGGUAAUGGGUAAAGAAGCACCGGCUAACUACGUG